AGAUCACCUCUUGGCUGUGGG
This 21-nucleotide microRNA is filed under the name Alligator mississippiensis (American alligator). RNAcentral describes it as "ami-miR-2970-3p". The record is from miRBase by way of RNAcentral. Lineage: Eukaryota; Metazoa; Chordata; Crocodylia; Alligatoridae.